Long non-coding RNA from Dermacentor silvarum, 248 nucleotides. RefSeq lists it as uncharacterized. Lineage: Eukaryota; Metazoa; Arthropoda; Arachnida; Ixodida; Ixodidae. The transcript has 3 exons. The record is from RefSeq and is a predicted model, not a curated record.
UGCCCUGUCCGUGUUGCUUCUGCGUGCGAUUUGUCAUCUCCACGUUGACACAUCGUAAUACUCAUCAGCUGAUCGUCAAGUUAGCUCACAGUACACCUACAGUCCAAGCAGGUUGUUCAACGAUUUUCGCGUCGUGGGACGUACUUUCUCACAGGUCGGCACUUGUUCGUGACAUCUCACUUGAAUUCGACUGGAGUUCUGAGCGCGCAUCACAUCUUCGUCUCCUGUAACUUGCGCGACUCUUCAGG